GUGCUUGUUUUGGCAGCACAUAUACUAAAUUGGAACAAUACAGAGAAGAUUAAUAUGGCCCCUUCGAAAGGAUGAUAUGCAAAUACAUGAAGCAUUCCAUAUUUGU
Cricetulus griseus (Chinese hamster) is the source of this 106-nucleotide small nuclear RNA. NCBI's taxonomy places the organism in Eukaryota, Metazoa, Chordata, Mammalia, Rodentia, Cricetidae. The record is from Ensembl.